UUGAGUGGCGAACGGGUGAGUAACACGUGGGCAACCUGCCCAAAAGAGGGGGAUAACACUUGGAAACAGGUGCUAAUACCGCAUAACCAUAGUUACCGCAUGGUAACUAUGUAAAAGGUGGCUAUACUACCGCUUUUGGAUGGGCCCGCGGCGCAUUAGCUAGUUGGUAGGGUAAAGGCUUACCAAGGCAAUGAUGCGUAGCCGAAUUGAGAGGUUGAUCGGCCACAUUGGGACUGAGACACGGCCCAAACUCCUACGGGAGGCAGCAG
RNAcentral lists this ribosomal RNA (269 nucleotides) under uncultured bacterium. RNAcentral describes it as "partial 16S ribosomal RNA". It matches the Rfam family "Bacterial small subunit ribosomal RNA", at positions 91 to 354 of the family's 1533-position model. The record is from RNAcentral.